This 495-nucleotide ribosomal RNA is filed under the name uncultured bacterium. Its description in RNAcentral is "partial 16S ribosomal RNA". It matches the Rfam family "Bacterial small subunit ribosomal RNA", at positions 28 to 507 of the family's 1533-position model. The record is from RNAcentral.
GACGAACGCUGGCGGCGUGCCUAAUACAUGCAAGUAGAACGCUGAAGGAGGAGCUUGCUCUUCUGGAUGAGUUGCGAACGGGUGAGUAACGCGUAGGUAACCUGCCUGGUAGCGGGGGAUAACUAUUGGAAACGAUAGCUAAUACCGCAUAACAGUAGAUGUUGCAUGACAUUUACUUAAAAGGUGCAAUUGCGUCACUACCAGAUGGACCUGCGUUGUAUUAGCUAGUUGGUGGGGUAACGGCUCACCAAGGCGACGAUACAUAGCCGACCUGAGAGGGUGAUCGGCCACACUGGGACUGAGACACGGCCCAGACUCCUACGGGAGGCAGCAGUAGGGAAUCUUCGGCAAUGGACGGAAGUCUGACCGAGCAACGCCGCGUGAGUGAAGAAGGUUUUCGGAUCGUAAAGCUCUGUUGUAAGAGAAGAACGAGUGUGAGAGUGGAAAGUUCACAGUGUGACGGUAUCUUACCAGAAAGGGACGGCUAACUACGUG